GAUGAACGCUGGCGGCGUGCCUAAUACAUGCAAGUCGAGCGAACGGACGAGAAGCUUGCUUUUCUGAUGUUAGCGGCGGACGGGUGAGUAACACGUGGAUAACCUACCUAUAAGACUGGGAUAACUUCGGGAAACCGGAGCUAAUACCGGAUAAUAUUUUGAACCGCAUGGUUCAAAAGUGAAAGACGGUCUUGCUGUCACUUAUAGAUGGAUCCGCGCUGCAUUAGCUAGUUGGUAAGGUAACGGCUUACCAAGGCAACGAUGCAUAGCCGACCUGAGAGGGUGAUCGGCCACCCUGGAACUGAGACACGGUCCAGACUCCUACGGGAGGCAGCAGUAGGGAAUCUUCCGCAAUGGGCGAAAGCCUGACGGAGCAACGCCGCGUGAGUGAUGAAGGUCUUCGGAUCGUAAAACUCUGUUAUUAGGGAAGAACAUAUGUGUAAGUAACUGUGCACAUCUUGACGGUACCUAAUCAGAAAGCCACGGCUAACUACAUG
Molecule: ribosomal RNA, 497 nt
Filed under: uncultured bacterium
Lineage: Bacteria
Description: partial 16S ribosomal RNA
Rfam family: Bacterial small subunit ribosomal RNA
Source: RNAcentral